Molecule: ribosomal RNA, 795 nt
Filed under: uncultured bacterium
Lineage: Bacteria
Description: bacterial SSU rRNA
Rfam family: Bacterial small subunit ribosomal RNA
Source: RNAcentral
AGAGUUUGAUCCUGGCUCAGAAUGAUCGUUGGCGGCGUGGAUUAGGCAUGCAAGUCGAACGGGCCGCAAGGCCAGUGGCGCAAGGGUGAGUUAGGCGAUGGCAACCAACCCCGCGAUUGGGCAUAGCCGAGGGAAACUUCGGGUAAUUCCCAGCGAUGUUCAGGACAGGCAUCUGUUUUGAACCAAAGGUGCGAUUCCGUCGCGGGACGGGCCAUCGUGGUAUUAGAUUGUUGGCGGGGUAACGGCCCACCAAGUCGUUGAUGCCUACCGGGCGUGUGAGCGUGGCCCGGCACACUGGGACUGAGACACUGCCCAGACUCCUACGGGAGGCUGCAGUCGAGAAUCUUCGGCAAUGGGCGCAAGCCUGACCGAGCGACGCCGCGUGGAGGAUGAAGGCCCUCGGGUUGUAAACUCCUGUCGAGGGGAAUGAAGGGGUCGUGAAGAACGAUCCUUGACCGAACCCUGGAGGAAGCACGGGCUAAGUUCGUGCCAGCAGCCGCGGUAAGACGAACCGUGCGAACGUUAUUCGGAAUCACUGGGCUUAAAGCGCGUGUAGGCGGAUCGGCGCGUCGUUCGUUGAAAGCCCCCGGCUCAACCGGGGAAUCGGCGGCGAUACGGCCGGUCUUGAGGAGCGCAGGGGAACCUGGAACUUCCGGUGGAGCGGUGAUAUGCGUUGAGAUCGGAAGGAACGCCCGUGGCGAAAGCGAGGUUCUGGACGCUUGCUGACGCUGAGACGCGAAAGCUAGGGGAGCAAACGGGAUUAGAUACCCCGGUAGUCCUAGCUGUAAACGAUGA